Molecule: ribosomal RNA, 253 nt
Filed under: uncultured bacterium
Lineage: Bacteria
Description: partial 16S ribosomal RNA
Rfam family: Bacterial small subunit ribosomal RNA
Source: RNAcentral
UACGUAGGGUGCGAGCGUUAAUCGGAAUUACUGGGCGUAAAGCGUGCGCAGGCGGUUUUGUAAGCCAGAUGUGAAAGCCCGGGGCUCAACUCCGGAACUGCCUUUAAGAUUGCAUCGCUUGAAUCCAGGAGAGGUGAGUGGAAUUCCGAGUGUAGAGGUGAAAUUCGUAGAUAUUCGGAAGAACACCAGUGGCGAAGGCGGCGUCCUGGACCAACACUGACACUGAUGAGCGAAAGCCAGGGGAGCAAACGGG